RNAcentral lists this ribosomal RNA (500 nucleotides) under uncultured bacterium. RNAcentral describes it as "partial 16S ribosomal RNA". It matches the Rfam family "Bacterial small subunit ribosomal RNA", at positions 30 to 523 of the family's 1533-position model. The record is from RNAcentral.
AUUGAACGCUGGCGGCAGGCCUAACACAUGCAAGUAGAGCGGUAGAGAGAAGCUUGCUUCUCUUGAGAGCGGCGGACGGGUGAGUAAUGCCUAGGAAUCUGCCUGGUAGUGGGGGAUAACGUUCGGAAACGGACGCUAAUACCGCAUACGUCCUACGGGAGAAAGCAGGGGACCUUCGGGCCUUGCGCUAUCAGAUGAGCCUAGGUCGGAUUAGCUAGUUGGUGGGGUAAUGGCUCACCAAGGCGACGAUCCGUAACUGGUCUGAGAGGAUGAUCAUUCACACUGGAACUGAGACACGGUCCAGACUCCUACGGGAGGCAGCAGUGGGGAAUAUUGGACAAUGGGCGAAAGCCUGAUCCAGCCAUGCCGCGUGUGUGAAGAAGGUCUUCGGAUUGUAAAGCACUUUAAGUUGGGGGGAAGGGCAGUAAAUUAAUACUUUGCUGUUUUGACGUUACCGACAGAAUAAGCACCGGCUAACUCUGUGCCAGCCGCCGCCGUAA